Molecule: unclassified non-coding RNA, 240 nt
Filed under: soil metagenome
Description: partial contains 5.8S ribosomal RNA, internal transcribed spacer 2, and large subunit ribosomal RNA
Source: RNAcentral
AAGACUAUAGACCUGCGGAGUACCUGCGGAAGGAUCAUUACUGAAAGAUCACGGGGUUUUGGGACUGCAUCUUGAAAUGAUGUGUGCUCGACCCUACUCUUUUAUCCACAUACACCUUUUGUGCACUAUGGGACGAUUUAAAGUCCCCUUUAUUUACACAAACACUUGGUAUAUGCAUGUAUUUAAUACUCUAUUGAGUAAUGUACAACUUUCAGCAACGGAUCUCUAGAUCGGAAGAGC